RNAcentral lists this unclassified non-coding RNA (354 nucleotides) under soil metagenome. RNAcentral's name for it is "partial contains 5.8S ribosomal RNA, internal transcribed spacer 2, and large subunit ribosomal RNA". The stretch from base 1 to 120 matches the Rfam family "5.8S ribosomal RNA", at positions 35 to 154 of the family's 154-position model. The record is from RNAcentral.
GAUGAAGAACGCAGCGAAAUGCGAUAAGUAGUGUGAAUUGCAGAAUUCAGUGAAUCAUCGAAUCUUUGAACGCACAUUGCGCCUCCCGGUAUUCCGGGAGGCAUGCCUGUUCGAGCGUCAUUAAAAUCACUCAAGCUUAGGUUUACCUAUUGCUUGGUCUUGGAGAUGGAAGCCAAUUUAUUGGAAUCCUCUUCGAAAUUCAAUGGCGAAGACCCUUGCUCUCCCAAGUGUAGUAAUAACUUAUGUCACUGAAGGAAGCGAGAAAUCUUCUGCCGUAACCCCCAUAUUUUCUAUGAUUGACCUCGGAUCAGGUAGGGAUACCCGCUGAACUUAAGCAUAUCAAUAAGCGGAGGA